UGGGGUAUCGUGAUGUCAUUAUGGGGUAUUGUGAGUAGAUUGAUGAGGACAUUUUUUUAUUUAAUAUAUUUUUGAAUAAGACUGUAACGUAACAAAAUGAGGAAAAAGUCAAAGGGUCUGAAUACUUUCCCAAGGCACUGUAACUGCCUUAAUGUUGCUAGACCCCAGUUAGAGUAGAUGUUGCCUUGGCAGUAACUAAUGGGGAGCCAUAAUAAACCCCAGGAAGAGUAGAUGUUGCCUUGGCAGGAACUAAUGGGGUAUGGUAGCCGACAACAUUAAAAGAGUUCAACUUCUUUCAGCAAAAAACAAGAAUCUGUGGUUGCAGUGGUUUCUAAGGAACGAAAACACUGGAAAAUUGGAAAACAUUGCCCGGACUGAUGAACCCCGGUUUCUGCUGUUUCACACUGAUGGGGGGACUAAGGAUAAUGCCCCCAAUGCCACUAGGCUAGGUUUAUCCAGGAAUAGUUCUGCAAACAUGACAGUGAAUUCAGCUUACUGCAUUGGCCUGCCCAGACGCCAUGAUCUCCAUCCAAUUGCGCGUCUGUGGGCUGAGAUGAAACGAGCAAUUCGGAGUUGAGAUUCACUGCCAGCCAUCUUGACACAACUGUGGGAAGCACUGGAGUCGACAUGGGGCCAGCAUCCCUGUGGAAUGCUUUCGACACCACGUAGAGUCUAUGCCCUGACGAAUUGAGGCUGUUCUGAGGGCAAAAUGAGGUGUACCUAAUGUUUUGUACACUCAGUGCAUGUGAUACAACACCGGUAUUCUCAUUUAUGUUAGAUUCUCAUUGCUAAGGCAGAUCUGUGAGUAAUAAUUUUUAUUAUAACAUAACACCUCACUCUUAUAUUGUUAAUAUCAGGACAUUCAUUUUCACAGCUGUUUAAUCACAGGUUUUGUUUCACUUUAUUAAAGCCCUCCAGCUUCUCCUGUGAGGGUUUCAGGGCAAUGUGGAGUUCCUUCUGGAAUGGAACAUUGACACUUGAAGUCCCUGGUUAGUAUCCAGGCUGUAUCACAUCCGGCCGUGAUUGGGAGUCCCAUAGGGCAGCGCACAAUUGGCCCAGCGUCGUUUAGGUUUGGCCGGGG
This 1081-nucleotide long non-coding RNA is filed under the name Salmo salar (Atlantic salmon). RNAcentral's name for it is "lncRNA (ENSSSAG00000099190.1)". Lineage: Eukaryota; Metazoa; Chordata; Actinopteri; Salmoniformes; Salmonidae. The record is from RNAcentral.